GAAAUGCGAUAAGUAGUGUGAAUUGCAGAAUUCAGUGAAUCAUCGAAUCUUUGAACGCACAUUGCGCCCUUUGGUAUUCCAAAGGGCAUGCCUGUUCGAGCGUCAUUUGUACCCUCAAGCUUUGCUUGGUGUUGAGCGUCUUGUCUCUAGCUUUGCUGGAGACUCGCCUUAAAGUAAUUGGCAGCCGGCCUACUGGUUUCGGAGCGCAGCACAAGUCGCACUCUCUAUCAGCAAAGGUCUAGCAUCCAUUAAGCCUUUUUUCAACUUUUGACCUCGGAUCAGGUAGGGAUACCCGCUGAACUUAAGC
This 307-nucleotide unclassified non-coding RNA is filed under the name plant metagenome. RNAcentral's name for it is "partial contains 5.8S ribosomal RNA, internal transcribed spacer 2, and large subunit ribosomal RNA". The stretch from base 1 to 105 matches the Rfam family "5.8S ribosomal RNA", at positions 50 to 154 of the family's 154-position model. The record is from RNAcentral.